AGAGUUUGAUCAUGGCUCAGGGUUAACGCUGGCGGCGCGCAUAACACAUGCAAGUCGAGCGAGGGCUCAUUUCCCGCAAGGGAGAUGGGUUCCUAGCGGCGAACGGGUGAGUAACACGUGGGCAACCUUUCCUAUCGCGGGGGAUAACAGCGGGAAACCGCUGCUAAUACCGCAUGUCGUCACCGGUCGCAUGGCCGGUGAAGAAAGCAGCAAUGCACGAUGGGGUGGGCCCGCGGCCUAUCAGCUAGUCGGUGGGGUAACGGCCUACCGAGGCGAUGACGGGUAGCUGGUCUGAGAGGACGACCAGCCACACGGGGACUGAGACACGGCCCCGACUCCUACGGGAGGCAGCAGUAGGGAAUCUUGCGCAAUGGGCGAAAGCCUGACGCAGCGACGCCGCGUGAGGGAAGAAGGCCUUCGGGUUGUAAACCUCUUUCAGGAGGGACGAAGCCACUCGGGUUAAUAGCCUAGAGGGUGACGGUACCUCCAGAAGAAGCCCCGGCUAACUACGUGCCAGCAGCCGCGGUAAUAC
RNAcentral lists this ribosomal RNA (532 nucleotides) under uncultured bacterium. Its description in RNAcentral is "bacterial SSU rRNA". It matches the Rfam family "Bacterial small subunit ribosomal RNA", at positions 8 to 526 of the family's 1533-position model. The record is from RNAcentral.